Molecule: long non-coding RNA, 643 nt
Filed under: Setaria italica (foxtail millet)
Lineage: Eukaryota; Viridiplantae; Streptophyta; Magnoliopsida; Poales; Poaceae
Description: long non-coding RNA (SITA_LNC002611)
Source: RNAcentral
UUUCAAGAAAGAAAUACAUGCAAUUCUGUUCUGGAAUCUGGUUUCGAGAAAGAAAUACAUGAGUUCGACUGGCGACGUAACACGAUGCCGAAAUUACCUCUUUGGAAUUUGGAUGAGCUAGGCGAAUAGCCAAAUCCUCGCUUCGAGAUAACAUGGAAAGCUGCGGUGCUAGUGUGGCACACCGAAACCUCGCUGGCCACUCGCUUUGCGCGGGCAAGGUGAGUUGUUUGGUAGCUCCUUGCCUCGCUACUUUGCUCGGCAAGCUUGCUCGGCUAGGCAGGGAAAUCCUUGCCGAUGCAAGAGAGUCCAAUCGGCUCUCCUAGGUGGCAAGGUUGGCUGCCACUCGGGAGCUCAUUGGGAUGCUCGAGUCAGCAUCGAAUCGACCUCUCACAGCCGCAGCGAUGCCAAAAUCGAGGUCAAUGGCCACCAAAUCGAGCUGCUCUGUUGCUGAAUCAACCUCCGUCGCCGCUGAAUCAACAUCCGCCACAGCCUAAUCGAGCUCUCCUGUCACCAAAUCAAACCACUGUGUCAAAAUCAAGCCCCGUCAUCUACCGAAUCAACCAGCGGUUCGAAGCAAGGCGAGCAGAGAAAGGGAAGCAAGCGCCCCGGUGAAGUUUGCCUUAUUGUGCUUCUGGGCCUCCAG